GAUGAACGCUGGCGGCGUGCCUAAUACAUGCAAGUCGAGCGAACAGACGAGGAGCUUGCUCCUCUGACGUUAGCGGCGGACGGGUGAGUAACACGUGUAUAACCUACCUAUAAGACUGGGAUAACUUCGGGAAACCGGAGCUAAUACCGGAUAAUAUAUUGAACCGCAUGGUUCAAUAGUGAAAGACGGUUUUGCUGUCACUUAUAGAUGGAUCCGCGCCGCAUUAGCUAGUUGGUAAGGUAACGGCCUACCAAGGCUACGAUGCGUAGCCGACCUGAGAGGGUGAUCGGCCACACUGGAACUGAGACACGGUCCAGACUCCUACGGGAGGCAGCAGUAGGGAAUCUUCCGCAAUGGGCGAAAGCCUGACGGAGCAACGCCGCGUGAGUGAUGAAGGUCUUCGGAUCGUAAAACUCUGUUAUUAGGGAAGAACAAAUGUGUAAGUAACUAUGCACGUCGUGACGGUACCUAAUCAGAAAGCCACGGCUAACUACGUG
This 497-nucleotide ribosomal RNA is filed under the name uncultured bacterium. Its description in RNAcentral is "partial 16S ribosomal RNA". It matches the Rfam family "Bacterial small subunit ribosomal RNA", at positions 28 to 507 of the family's 1533-position model. The record is from RNAcentral.